GGAUUAGAUACCCUGGUAGUCCACGCUGUAAACGAUGAUCACUCGUUGUUGGCGAUACACUGUCAGCGACCAAGCGAAAGCGUUAAGUGAUCCACCUGGGGAGUACGGUCGCAAGAUUGAAACUCAAAGGAAUUGACGGGGGCCCGCACAAGCGGUGGAGCAUGUGGUUUAAUUCGAUGAUACGCGAGGAACCUUACCAAGGCUUAAAUGUAGAUUGACCAACCGGGAAACUGGUUUUCUCUUCGGAGCAAUUUACAAGGUGCUGCAUGGUUGUCGUCAGCUCGUGCCG
RNAcentral lists this ribosomal RNA (289 nucleotides) under uncultured bacterium. RNAcentral describes it as "partial 16S ribosomal RNA". It matches the Rfam family "Bacterial small subunit ribosomal RNA", at positions 775 to 1067 of the family's 1533-position model. The record is from RNAcentral.